RNAcentral lists this ribosomal RNA (218 nucleotides) under uncultured bacterium. RNAcentral's name for it is "partial 16S ribosomal RNA". It matches the Rfam family "Bacterial small subunit ribosomal RNA", at positions 524 to 741 of the family's 1533-position model. The record is from RNAcentral.
UACGGAGGGAGCGUCGCUGUUGGUGAAUUACUGGGCGUAAAGCGCGCGUAGGCGGCUUUGUAAGUUAGAGGUGAAAGCCCGGAGCUCAACUCCGGAAUUGCCUUUAAGACUGCAUCGCUAGAAUCAUGGAGAGGUGAGUGGAAUUCCGAGUGUAGAGGUGAAAUUCGUAGAUAUUCGGAAGAACACCAGUGGCGAAGGCGACUCACUGGACAUGUAUU